This is a non-coding RNA of Papio anubis (olive baboon), 47 nucleotides long. The record is from Rfam. Lineage: Eukaryota; Metazoa; Chordata; Mammalia; Primates; Cercopithecidae.
CCCAAGGCUUUUCUAAAAAGCCACACACAUGAAAGUAAGAAAGAUUU